UACGUAGGGUGCGAGCGUUAAUCGGAAUUACUGGGCGUAAAGUGUGCGCAGGCGGCCGAGCAAGUCGAGUGUGAAAGCCCCGGGCUUAACUUGGGAAUUGCGCUCGAAACUACUUGGCUGGAGUGUGGCAGAGGAAGGUGGAAUUCCAGGUGUAGCGGUGAAAUGCGUAGAGAUCUGGAGGAACACCGAUGGCGAAGGCAGCCGUCUGGGCCGAUACUGACGCUGAGGAGCGAAAGCGUGGGGAGCGAACAGG
RNAcentral lists this ribosomal RNA (253 nucleotides) under uncultured bacterium. Its description in RNAcentral is "partial 16S ribosomal RNA". It matches the Rfam family "Bacterial small subunit ribosomal RNA", at positions 524 to 776 of the family's 1533-position model. The record is from RNAcentral.